GCGGACGUGGCUCAGUGGUAGAGCAUCCCCUUGCCAAGGUGAGGGUCGCGGGUUCGAAUCCCGUCGUCCGCU
RNAcentral lists this transfer RNA (72 nucleotides) under Actinomycetota bacterium. Its description in RNAcentral is "tRNA-Gly". It matches the Rfam family "tRNA". Rfam says of the family: Transfer RNA (tRNA) molecules are approximately 80 nucleotides in length. Their secondary structure includes four short double-helical elements and three loops (D, anti-codon, and T loops). Lineage: Bacteria; Bacillati; Actinomycetota. The record is from RNAcentral.